RNAcentral lists this transfer RNA (74 nucleotides) under Chloroflexota bacterium. RNAcentral describes it as "tRNA-Pro". It matches the Rfam family "tRNA". Rfam says of the family: Transfer RNA (tRNA) molecules are approximately 80 nucleotides in length. The record is from RNAcentral. Lineage: Bacteria; Bacillati; Chloroflexota.
CGGGGCGUAGCGCAGUCCGGUAGCGCGCUUGCUUUGGGAGCAAGAGGUCAUGGGUUCGAAUCCCGUCGCCCCGA